This is a small nuclear RNA of Macaca mulatta (Rhesus monkey), 117 nucleotides long. Lineage: Eukaryota; Metazoa; Chordata; Mammalia; Primates; Cercopithecidae. The record is from Ensembl.
AUAGAAAACAGUGGUUCUGUACUCGCUUCAGCAGUAUAUAUACUAAGAAGAUUAGCAUGGCCCCUGUGCAAAGAUGACAUGCAAAUUCAUGAAGGAUUUCAUUAAAAAAACUUUUUU